RNAcentral lists this long non-coding RNA (245 nucleotides) under Elaeis guineensis (African oil palm). RNAcentral describes it as "long non-coding RNA (EGUI_LNC058174)". Lineage: Eukaryota; Viridiplantae; Streptophyta; Magnoliopsida; Arecales; Arecaceae. The record is from RNAcentral.
GCACCCAUGGAUGGAAAAGUAGACUAUGGUGGUGCGAUCAAGGAACUCCGAUCUGAUGAUUGAUGGCAAAGAUGAUGUCGGAAAAGAUCAAUAAAAUCAUAAAAAAUAGAGAAAUUUUAGAUACUAAGUUUUUCAAGAAAAUUCAAUGAUUGCCGGCUGAAAUUAAUUGUCUAUGGACUAAGAAUGGUAGAGAGAUAUAUUGUUUCCAGCAAGAUUUGGCCCUAACUUCUGACGAAUAUAGUGAC